This 717-nucleotide small RNA is filed under the name Histoplasma capsulatum. Its description in RNAcentral is "hypothetical RNA". Lineage: Eukaryota; Fungi; Ascomycota; Eurotiomycetes; Onygenales; Ajellomycetaceae. The record is from RNAcentral. RNAcentral also lists the same sequence under 1 other name.
AGUUAAUAUGGAGGGGCAACUCCUUGUGCUUUCGACUUUUUCAGAAGGGCUACAUAAAUCCGAAUUCUGGUGGGUUCCAUAGGCGUACGACACAACGUAUAUGUGUCUAAAUAAAUUAUUAUACUUUUUAAGGGAUGUCAUUUGAGUGUGAUAUUCAAUUCUUCCUUCCUAUAGCCUUGGUGAUUUGUUGACUCUCCCUAGCAUAUGCAGCAUGCAAAAUUGACCUGCGUCACAAAUCCAGUGUGCAUCGACACAAGUAUCGCCUGAUAUUGGGUGCAGAGGAGAUAGGUCAUUGUGGCAUGUUUACAGCCAGUGUAUGUCAAUGGAUGGUUACUAGUUUAUCUCGACGUGGCAUGGGGUUCCAAUUUCUUAACAAGCUUGUUGGCCAUCAAGGAGGGAAGGUUGUUGUAGAAUAUUUUCCUGCAUUCUCAACUGCUGUUCAUUCUCUCUGAUCAAUCAUGUUAACUAUUGGGCAUGAUGGCCUGUUUGAAGAAAACACCCUACAGCCUUGUUUUUGAUUUACAUUGCUGGUGAUGUGAGCCCACCUGAAAUUUAACUCAUUUGGGAUGUCCUCAAUAAAGAUUUCCCCUUCUACAUCUGGAAGUCUGGUGAAAUAUAUCAGAUGAAUGAUACCAUCCUUUCUGUCUUGUGCUAAUCUAUCCAAUUUUAACAAUCCCUUUGUGCUCUAAAUGUUGCAAAUCCACUAUAUAUGAAUGC